This 898-nucleotide ribosomal RNA is filed under the name uncultured archaeon. Its description in RNAcentral is "bacterial SSU rRNA". It matches the Rfam family "Archaeal small subunit ribosomal RNA", at positions 17 to 922 of the family's 1478-position model. The record is from RNAcentral.
CCGGACCUGACUGCUAUCGGAUUGGUACUAAGCCAUGCGGGUCGUUGUAGCAAUACAAGGCGGACGGCUCAGUAACACGUAGUCAACCUAACCUAUGGACGUGGAUAACCUCGGGAAACUGAGAAUAAACCGCGAUAGAUCAUAAUGCCUGGAAUGGCUUAUGGUCAAAAUAAUUUAUUGCCGUAGGAUGGGACUGCGGCCUAUCAGCUUGUUGGUGAGGUAAUGGCCCACCAAGGCUAUAACAGGUACGGGCUCUGAGAGGAGAAGCCCGGAGAUGGGUACUGAGACACGGACCCAGGCCCUAUGGGGCGCAGCAGGCGAGAAACCUUAGCAAUGUGCGAAAGCACGACUAGGUUAAUCCGAGUGAUUUCUGUUGAAGAAAUCUUUUGUCAGUCGUAAAACCACAGACGAAUAAGGGGUGGGCAAGUCUGGUGUCAGCCGCCGCGGUAAUACCAGCACCUCGAGUGGUCAGGAGGUUUAUUGGGCCUAAAGCAUCCGUAGCCGGCUAUGCAAGUCUCCGGUUAAAUCCAACUGCUCAACAGAUGGGCUGCCGGAGAUACUACACAGCUAGGGAGCGGGAGAGGUAGACGGUAUUCUGUGGGUAGGGGUAAAAUCCACUGAUCCAUAGAGGACCACCAGUGGCGAAGGCGGUCUACCAGAACGCGUUCGACGGUGAGGGAUGAAAGCUGGGGGAGCAAACCGGAUUAGAUACCCGGGUAGUCCCAGCUGUAAACGAUGCAAACUCGGUGAUGCAUUGACUUAUGGUCAAUGCAGUGCCGCAGGGAAGCCGUUAAGUUUGCCGCCUGGGAAGUACGGACGCAAGUCUGAAACUUAAAGGAAUUGGCGGGGGAGCACCACAAGGGGUGAAGCCUGCGGUUCAAUUGGAGUCAACGCCGGG